RNAcentral lists this non-coding RNA (101 nucleotides) under Eubacterium sp. Its description in RNAcentral is "ZTP sequence". It matches the Rfam family "ZMP/ZTP riboswitch aptamer (pfl RNA motif)". From Rfam's summary of the family: Previously known as pfl RNA. ZMP is also known as AICAR. Lineage: Bacteria; Bacillati; Bacillota; Clostridia; Eubacteriales; Eubacteriaceae. The record is from RNAcentral. RNAcentral also lists the same sequence under 1 other name.
UAUAAGCUGUGUGACUGGCGGAAAUGUAUGUUUUUACAUACAGUGAGAUUACUCACAGGGAACAUAGCAGUUUUUAAAUGCCGACCGCCUGGGCGACCUUU